This is a long non-coding RNA of Oryza sativa Japonica Group (Japanese rice), 1189 nucleotides long. RefSeq lists it as uncharacterized. Lineage: Eukaryota; Viridiplantae; Streptophyta; Magnoliopsida; Poales; Poaceae. The record is from RefSeq and is a predicted model, not a curated record.
ACGAUCAACUUAAUAUCUAUUGUAUCUUCUCGCUUUAAAUUUCAAUUCAACUCACCUUUUAUGGAUCUACCGCAUGUAAUUGAAUCCAGCUAUCAUAAUAGAUGUGUAAAAUACCUUGGUAUAGUGGAAUAUGCUUGUGGUUGCAGAGGAAUGCUCCGGUGCAAUCUACUUGCAGUAUUCUACUCCAAGUAGAAUUGAUCUCGACCGUUUAUUUUAAAGGGCAGGUAAGUAAUCUCCUAAUAUUGUUUAGGGGUAAUUUUGGCAUGGAUUAUUUUCUUCUGUUCGAUCGCAUCAGGUCGGACUCCGCAUCGCAUCGCAUCAGGUCCGACUCCGUUGCACGCAGUCUCGUCGCUAUUCCUCCCCCGGCGUCGCCGCCUUGUCCACCCCCUCCGUCGCCGUCCGUAUCCCCCGUCCUCUCAGUCGCCGCCUUGUCCGCCUCCUCAGUCGCCGUCUGCCUCCCCCGCCCUCGCUGCCUUCUCCGCUCCCUCCGUCCCCGUACGUUUCCCCUGCCCUCUCCGUCGCCGUCCGUUGGCCCCGCCCUCUCCACCUCCGGCACCGUUGGCGUCUCCUCCCCCUUCAGUGCCCUUGCCUCCUCCGUCGUCUUCCUACCGCGCGUGGCAUCAGGUCGGAGGCAGGCACCGGCAGGCGGCGGCGCGGCCGGCAGCUAGUCCUCCCGGCAAGCGGCGUCGCGGCCGGUGGCGCGGCGCGUCGCAUCUGUCCGACGCAAGCACCGGCAAGCGGCGGCGCGGUGAAAUCCUCAGGUCCUGGAUGAUGAUCAUGGAGCUGUGGUUUACCCUGUCAGGAGGUCAGUAGCUCCUCCUGCAGUUCAGCGUUGGGGCGACAUCCCUGGGCAGCAUAACUGCGGCGCACCUGGUUGCCCUGAGAUGAUUCCGGCGCAAGCACAGUUCUGUUGUUUGCGUUGCAAGGCUGCAGUUCAUUGCUGCUUAUUUAUUUUUAAAGGAGUGUAAUGAACAAAUAAAUUUAGUUGCCUUUUUAAAUAUUAGGAUUAAAUGAUCUACAACUGGAAUGGUGACUUCAUUUUGUGAUGCUUGUGUGAUGCUUUAAUGGUGCUGUUUGCUGGAAUGAUGCUAUUGUUGAUGCUGGAAUGAUACUGCUACUAUUGGAAAUUGUGCUGCUGCUAGAACUGCACUGUUGUUGCUGGAAUGAAACUGAAUUGCUGUUGUUGGAA